Molecule: unclassified non-coding RNA, 589 nt
Filed under: Hevea brasiliensis (rubber tree)
Lineage: Eukaryota; Viridiplantae; Streptophyta; Magnoliopsida; Malpighiales; Euphorbiaceae
Source: RNAcentral
GCUCGAGUCUACCUGUCUGGAGGAGCUGCUGCUUUUUUCGGAAUGUGGAGAUUUAACAGGGCCAUAAAUUCAUGCCUUGAUCAUAUUCUUGAUCUGGAUGGAAGUCGGAUACAGAGGGAGUUAGCAAAUAUNNNNNNNNNNNNGAUGAUCCCUGGACAAUGAAACGUAUGUAUAGACAUUUCUAUUCAGAGAAUGUGUUUGACGACUCAAACUCAGAUAAGCCGAUAUUAAGGUGGCGUUAUCGAAAUUUCUUUGGGGAUAAUGUUGCUUAUGGUCAAAGGAUGAAUGACUGUGACUCGCAGAGUGACUCACACAUUGUCUCUCAUGAUGAUUCUGAUAGUAAAAAGGCUCAUGUGGAGUCAAAACAAGUUCCUAUGAACCCUGGUGCUGAUGUGAUGGAAGACCCUCUAGAUAGUAUUUUUGGUUCCAUGGCACCAGUGGAGGAGAUCCAUCACCUAAGCGCAUCAAGCACACCUGCCAGAGCACUUACUCGUAGCCACAGAAGAUCUCAGCGUAGGCGUCAGAUGCUUCUCCAUCAUGAAUCAUGAAGACUUGAAGCCAGCAUAGCAGUAUGUUUAAACUUGAUGGA